This is a non-coding RNA of Drosophila suzukii, 102 nucleotides long. Lineage: Eukaryota; Metazoa; Arthropoda; Insecta; Diptera; Drosophilidae. The record is from RefSeq and is a predicted model, not a curated record.
CCAAUAAAAAUCCUGCAAAGGGUGAAACACAGCUCUAAAAGGAGCGUUGGCCAAGGAUUCGGAGGACCCGGACAAAGGUAUAAGGAAGGCGAUGACCAAUGU